Molecule: long non-coding RNA, 226 nt
Filed under: Drosophila guanche
Lineage: Eukaryota; Metazoa; Arthropoda; Insecta; Diptera; Drosophilidae
Source: RNAcentral
AGUAUCCGUUGUGAAAGACAGCUGAUUUAUAAGAGCGUGAGGAAACAAGGCAGUGGAGCCCAUUUUUAUUGGUUUCGGAAACUGAUAUGCAAUUACUGCACCAUCAGUGGAAAAAUCGUCACAGAGAUGAACGAGACAUCCUGCCGCAUGACGGGAGACUUGAAUAAACCACCUGACAAAGUCGAACUAUUUUUCCGCUUCGAAAUAAACCGACCUCUUCUGAUAG